CUUGGCUUGGCCCUUUUUGGCACUAGCACAUUUUUGCUGUUCUCUGUAUACGCCGAGCAAUUAUGUGUAGUGCCAAUAUGGGAGAAGUCCGA
Molecule: microRNA precursor, 92 nt
Organism: Notechis scutatus (mainland tiger snake)
Lineage: Eukaryota; Metazoa; Chordata; Lepidosauria; Squamata; Elapidae
Gene: MIR96
Product: microRNA 96
Source: Ensembl